RNAcentral lists this ribosomal RNA (113 nucleotides) under uncultured cyanobacterium. RNAcentral describes it as "partial 16S ribosomal RNA". It matches the Rfam family "Bacterial small subunit ribosomal RNA", at positions 382 to 512 of the family's 1533-position model. Lineage: Bacteria; Bacillati; Cyanobacteriota. The record is from RNAcentral.
CCUGACGGAGCAGACCGCGUGGGGGAAGAAGGUCUGUGGAUUGUAAACCCCUUUUGACCGGGAAGAACACUGACGGUACCGGUCGAAUCAGCCUCGGCUAACUCCGUGCCAGC